AGUAAGAAAAAUGUUUGUACCCUCCGUUAAUCCUCUAAAACAACAACAACCAGGAAAAAAGUCCUAACAAAAUAGGAGAUUGCUACUGUUUGCAUGCCAAAAUGUGUGUUGUAAGUGAGUCAAGCCACAGCUUUCUAAAGCCAAGAAACUCAUACAUUUCUUUGUUCAAAUUUUGAGUGAAACUGGUUUUAUUAACUUCUGGUUAGGAAGUGAUACUGUGGGAGGGGGGUUGGGAGACGGGCCUCCUGCCCUCCCAUGGGAAUCAACAGAUGUGUAAUUUCCUACCUUCCCCUAACUGCCACCCUUCGUUUCUAUGACAACCAAGUUGUGUCAAUCAGUUUGUCCCCCAGCCCUAAGUUCUAGUAUGUUCUAAGUUAUAUGUAUUUUUAUUGGUUCUCUCCCCCGAAACCUCUCCCUCUCCCCUUCCUUAUUGGUUCAAACAAUGUCACCCCACUUUUCCUUCUCUCCUUUGCUCGUACCUGGUUGGUCCCUCAGACCCUAGCCACUCCUGUCCCUCGUCCCUUUUGAUACCUUACCCCGCCCCUUGGUCGGCGCUCUCGGAGCCCGCUGCCCUCUCGUGUGGUUGGAUCCCUUCAUCCUUCGCUGUACCUUUCCUUUCUGGAAUCCACGAGAAUUAAAGUACUCCUUGAGUCAUCCCGCUUAGGCGGAAGCGUUAUCUGUCUUUUGCUAUCUGGCAACCAGGAUACCUCUCUUGCCACUGAACCCUUCACGGUGUCUCCGGCGGGACACUGGUCCCAGGAUAGACCUGCCGCAGCUGGCACCUCGAACGGGGACCCUCGCGGUAUCCCUUGUGAGCGACUCCUCACGGACUGCUUGACUCUGUGAGCCGGUGACCGUAGGAUUGAAGUGCCGUUCGGGAUCCCAGCUCCACGGGCAGUCGAACUUCGUUGAAGAAGCGCUUCUAUCCUGUGGGCUGCAGACAACCUGCCCGACGAAGAACCAUAGUGCCGAGGAGCAGUGCUCCUUCUCAGCAGGACCUGCAGCUGCUUCCGCUCCCCGCAGAGGUCCUUUCUUUUGGACAGGUGUCUCUUCCGUUGAGUGGAUCAAGCAACAAAUCCUGCCAGCCAGAGGCACAAGGUUGUCGCCUAGUCCCUGCUGCUCCCCGAUCCUCUCUGUCCCUUUCCCACUCCGGAACUGGCCACCCCGGUGCAGCUCUUCCCGCGUACCACGACCCCGGACACCCCAAUCCCAGUUUGAAGCCCUGCAGUUCGAAUCCCG
Molecule: long non-coding RNA, 1239 nt
Filed under: Chloebia gouldiae (Gouldian finch)
Lineage: Eukaryota; Metazoa; Chordata; Aves; Passeriformes; Passeridae
Description: Erythrura gouldiae (Gouldian finch) lncRNA (ENSEGOG00005015648.1)
Source: RNAcentral